RNAcentral lists this ribosomal RNA (2263 nucleotides) under Salmonella enterica subsp. enterica serovar Typhimurium. RNAcentral describes it as "bacterial LSU rRNA". It matches the Rfam family "Bacterial large subunit ribosomal RNA", at positions 14 to 2213 of the family's 2925-position model. The record is from RNAcentral. Lineage: Bacteria; Pseudomonadati; Pseudomonadota; Gammaproteobacteria; Enterobacterales; Enterobacteriaceae.
AGCGUACACGGUGGAUGCCCUGGCAGUCAGAGGCGAUGAAGGGCGUGCUAAUCUGCGAUAAGCGCCGGUAAGGUGAUAUGAACCGUUAUAACCGGCGAUACCCGAAUGGGGAAACCCAGUGUGAUUCGUCACACUAUCAUUAACUGAAUCCAUAGGUUAAUGAGGCGAACCGGGGGAACUGAAACAUCUAAGUACCCCGAGGAAAAGAAAUCAACCGAGAUUCCCCCAGUAGCGGCGAGCGAACGGGGAGGAGCCCAGAGCCUGAAUCAGCAUGUGUGUUAGUGGAAGCGUCUGGAAAGGCGCGCGAUACAGGGUGACAGCCCCGUACACAAAAGCGCAUGUGCUGUGAGCUCGAUGAGUAGGGCGGGACACGUGGUAUCCUGUCUGAAUAUGGGGGGACCAUCCUCCAAGGCUAAAUACUCCUGACUGACCGAUAGUGAACCAGUACCGUGAGGGAAAGGCGAAAAGAACCCCGGCGAGGGGAGUGAAAAAGAACCUGAAACCGUGUACGUACAAGCAGUGGGAGCACAGGUUUACCUGUGUGACUGCGUACCUUUUGUAUAAUGGGUCAGCGACUUAUAUUCUGUAGCAAGGUUAACCGUAUAGGGGAGCCGUAGGGAAACCGAGUCUUAACCGGGCGUUAAGUUGCAGGGUAUAGACCCGAAACCCGGUGAUCUAGCCAUGGGCAGGUUGAAGGUUGGGUAACACUAACUGGAGGACCGAACCGACUAAUGUUGAAAAAUUAGCGGAUGACCUGUGGCUGGGGGUGAAAGGCCAAUCAAACCGGGAGAUAGCUGGUUCUCCCCGAAAGCUAUUUAGGUAGCGCCUCGUGAAUUCAUCUCCGGGGGUAGAGCACUGUUUCGGCUAGGGGGCCAUCCCGGCGUACCAACCCGAUGCAAACUGCGAAUGCCAGAGAAUGUUAUCACGGGAGACACACGGCGGGUGCUAACGUCCGUCGUGAAGAGGGAAACAACCCAGACCGCCAGCUAAGGUCCCAAAGUCAUGGUUAAGUGGGAAACGAUGUGGGAAGGCCCAGACAGCCAGGAUGUUGGCUUAGAAGCAGCCAUCAUUUAAAGAAAGCGUAAUAGCUCACUGGUCGAGUCGGCCUGCGCGGAAGAUGUAACGGGGCUAAACCAUGCACCGAAGCUGCGGCAGCGAACGUAUCACCCAAGACAACUUUACGGAGUUGACGAUUGACGGAGCGAAGCGACGUCAAAGCGUUCAUUAAAGUCGAGUUGGCUUAGGGAUACGUUCGUUGGGUAGGGGAGCGUUCUGUAAGCCUGUGAAGGUGUGUCGUGAGGCAUGCUGGAGGUAUCAGAAGUGCGAAUGCUGACAUAAGUAACGAUAAAGCGGGUGAAAAGCCCGCUCGCCGGAAGACCAAGGGUUCCUGUCCAACGUUAAUCGGGGCAGGGUGAGUCGACCCCUAAGGCGAGGCCGAAAGGCGUAGUCGAUGGGAAACGGGUUAAUAUUCCCGUACUUGGUGUUACUGCGAAGGGGGGACGGAGAAGGCUAUGUUGGCCGGGCGACGGUUGUCCCGGUUUAAGCGUGUAGGUGUGUGUUCCAGGUAAAUCCGGUUCACUUUAACACUGAGGCGUGAUGACGAGGCACUACGGUGCUGAAGCAACAAAUGCCCUGCUUCCAGGAAAAGCCUCUAAGCAUCAGGUAACAUCAAAUCGUACCCCAAACCGACACAGGUGGUCAGGUAGAGAAUACCAAGGCGCUUGAGAGAACUCGGGUGAAGGAACUAGGCAAAAUGGUGCCGUAACUUCGGGAGAAGGCACGCUGACACGUAGGUGAAGUGAUUUACUCACGGAGCUGAAGUCAGUCGAAGAUACCAGCUGGCUGCAACUGUUUAUUAAAAACACAGCACUGUGCAAACACGAAAGUGGACGUAUACGGUGUGACGCCUGCCCGGUGCCGGAAGGUUAAUUGAUGGGGUCAGCGCAAGCGAAGCUCCUGAUCGAAGCCCCGGUAAACGGCGGCCGUAACUAUAACGGUCCUAAGGUAGCGAAAUUCCUUGUCGGGUAAGUUCCGACCUGCACGAAUGGCGUAAUGAUGGCCAGGCUGUCUCCACCCGAGACUCAGUGAAAUUGAACUCGCUGUGAAGAUGCAGUGUACCCGCGGCAAGACGGAAAGACCCCGUGAACCUUUACUAUAGCUUGACACUGAACAUUGAGCCUUGAUGUGUAGGAUCUGGGGGGUGGCCGUGUCGUUUGUACGAAAGUCUGCAUGGAGCCGACCUUGAAAUACCACCCUUUAAUGU